AGAAUGUCGGUGUGUGAUGGUGAAUGUCGGUGUGUGAUGGAGAAUGUCGGUGUGUGAUGGUGAAUGUCGGUGUGUGAUGGUGAAUGUUGGUGUGUGAUGGUGAAUGUCGGUGUGUGAUGGAGAAUGUCGGUGUGUGAUGGUGAAUGUUGGUGUGUGUGAUGGUGAAUGUCGGUGUGUGAUGGUGAAUGUUGGUGUGUGAUGGAGAAUGUCGGUGUGUGAUGGUGAAUGUCGGUGUGUGAUGGUGAAUGUUGGUGUGUGAUGGUGAAUGUUGGUGUUUCAUGGAGAAUGUCGGUGUGUGAUGGUGAAUGUCGGUGUGUGAUGGUGAAUGUCGGUGUGUGAUGGUGAAUGUCGGUGUGUGAUGGUGAAUGUCGGUGUGUGAUGGAGAAUGUUGGUGUGUGAUGGUGAAUGUUGGUGUGUGAUGGAGAAUGUUGGUGUGUGAUGGUGAAUGUCGGUGUGUGAUGGUGAAUGUCGGUGUGUGAUGGAGAAUGUCGGUGUUUGAUGGAGAAUGUCGGUGUGUGAUGGUGAAUGUUGGUGUGUGAUGGUGAAUGUUGGUGUGUGAUGGAGAAUGUUGGUGUGUGUGAUGGUGAAUGUCGGUGUGUGUGAUGGAGAAUGUUGGUGUGUGAUGGUGAAUGUUGGUGUGUGAUGGAGAAUGUUGGUGUGUGAUGGUGAAUGUUGGUGUGUGAUGGAGAAUGUUGGUGUGUGAUGGUGAAUGUCGGUGUGUGAUGGAGAAUGUUGGUGUUUGAUGGAGAAUGUUGGUGUGUGAUGGUGAAUGUUGGUGUGUGAUGGUGAAUGUUGGUGUGUGAUGGAGAAUGUUGGUGUUUGAUGGUGAAUGUUGGUGUUUGAUGGUGAAUGUUGGUGUUUGAUGGUGAAUGUUGAUGUUUGAUGGUGAAUAUUGGUGUGUGAUUGUGAAUGUUAGUGUAUGGUGGAGAAUGGUUGUGUGUGUCUUUGAAUGUUGGUGUGUAAGGGUAAAUGUUUUUGUGUGAUGGAAAAUGUCGGUGUUUGAUGGAGAAUGUCGGUGUGUGAUGGUGAAUGUCGGUGUGUGAUGGAGAAUGUUGGUGUGUGAUGGAGAAUGUUGGUGUUUGAUGGAGAAUGUUGGUGUGUGAUUGAGAAUGUUGGUGUGUGAUUGAGAAUGUUGGUGUGUGAUGGCGAAUGUUGGUGUGUGAUUGAGAAUGUUGGUGUGUGAUGGUGAAUGUUGGUGUGUGAUGGUGAAUGUUGGUGUGUGUGAUGGAGAAUGUUGGUGUUUGAUGGAGAAUGUUGGUGUGUGAUUGAGAAUGUUGGUGUGUGAUUGAGAAUGUUGGUGUGUGGUGGAGAAUGUUGGUGUUUGGUGGAGAUUUUUGGUGUGUGAUUGAGAAUGUUGGUGUGUGAUUGAGAAUGUUGGUGUGUGAUGGCGAAUGUUGGUGUGUGAUUGAGAAUGUUGGUGUGUGAUGGAGAAUGUUGGUGUUUGGUGGAGAUUUUUGGUGUGUGAUGGAGAAUGUUGGUGUUUCAUGGAGAAUGUUGGUGUUUGAUGGUGAAUGUUGGUGUGUGAUGGUGAAUGUUGGUGUGUGUGAUGGUGAAUGUUGGUGUGUGUGAUGGUGAAUGUCGGUGUGUGUGAUGGUGAAUGUUGGUCUGUGAUGGUGAAUGUUGGUGUGUGAUGGUGAAUGUCGGUGUGUGAUGGAGAAUGUUGGUGUGUGAUGGAGAAUGUUGGUCUGUGAUGGUGAAUGUUGGUGUGUGAUGGUGAAUGUUGGUGUGUGUGAUGGUGAAUGUUGGUGUUUGAUGGAGAAUGUUGGGGUUUGAUGGAAAAUGUUGGUGGGUGUGAUGGUGAAUGUGUGUGUGUGAUGGUGAAUGUUGGUCUGUGAUGGUGAAUGUUGGUGUGUGAUGGAGAAUGUUGGUGUGUGAUGGUGAAUGUCGGUGUGUGAUGGAGAAUGUUGGUGUUUGAUGGAGAAUGUUGGUGUGUGAUGGUGAAUGUUGGUGUGUGUGAUGGAGAAUGUUGGUGUUUGAUGGUGAAUGUUGGUGUGUGAUGGUGAAUGUUGGUGUGUGUGAUGGAGAAUGUUGGUGUGUGUGAUGGAGAAUGUUGGUGUGUGUGAUGGAGAAUGUUGGUGUGUGUGAUGGUGAAUGUUGGUGUGUGUGAUGGUGAAUGUUGGUGUGUGAUGGUGAAUGUUGGUCUGUGAUGGUGAAUGUUGGUCUGUGAUGGUGAAUGUUGGUGUGUGAUGGUGAAUGUCGGUGUGUGAUGGAGAAUGUCGGUGUGUGAUGGAGAAUGUUGGUCUGUGAUGGUGAAUGUUGGUGUGUGAUGGUGAAUGUCGGUGUGUGAUGGAGAAUGUUGGUGUGUGAUGGAGAAUGUUGGUGUUUGAUGGAGAAUGUUGGGGUUUGAUGGAAAAUGUUGGUGUGUGUGAUGGUGAAUGUGUGUGUGUGAUGGUGAAUGUUGGUGUGUGAUGGUGAAUGUUGGUGUGUGAUGGUGAAUGUUGGUGUGUGAUGGAGAAUGUUGGUGUGUGAUGGUGAAUGUUGGUGUGUGAUGGUGAAUGUUGGUGUGUGAUGGUGAAUGUUGGUGUUUGAUGGUGAAUGUUGGUGUGUGAUGAAGAAUGUUGGUGUGUGAUGGUGAAUGUUGGUGUGUGAUGGUGAAUGUUGGUGUGUGAUGGUGAAUGUUGGUGUGUGUGAUGGUGAAUGUUGGUGUGUGAUGGUGAAUGUUGGUGUGUGAUGGUGAAUGUUGGUGUUUGAUGGUGAAUGUUGGUGUGUGAUGAAGAAUGUUGGUGUGUGAUGGUGAAUGUUGGUGUGUGAUGGUGAAUGUUGGUGUGUGAUGGUGAAUGUUGGUGUGUGGUGGAGAAUGUUGGUGUGUGAUGGUGAAUGUUGGUGUGUGAUGGUGAAUGUUGGUGUGUGAUGGUGAAUGUUGGUGUGUGGUGGUGAAUGUUGGUGUUUGAUGGAGAAUGUUGGUGUGUGGUUGAGAAUGUUGGUGUUUGAUGGAGAAUGUUGGUGUGUGAUUGAGAAUGUUGGUGUUUGAUGGAGAAUGUUGGUGUGUGGUUGAGAAUGUUGGUGUCUGAUAGUGAAUGUUGGUGUGUGACUCAGAGUGCUAGGGUUGACCGUGAAUGUCAGUGUUCGAUGAAUGUUGUCAUUUGAUGCUAAAUUUUUAUCUUUAAAGGAAAUUUUUGUG
Molecule: long non-coding RNA, 3121 nt
Organism: Ictalurus punctatus (channel catfish)
Lineage: Eukaryota; Metazoa; Chordata; Actinopteri; Siluriformes; Ictaluridae
Source: Ensembl